Molecule: long non-coding RNA, 1304 nt
Organism: Schistocerca americana (American grasshopper)
Lineage: Eukaryota; Metazoa; Arthropoda; Insecta; Orthoptera; Acrididae
Exons: 4
Source: RefSeq, a predicted model, not a curated record
CGUCUGGCGUCUAUCCCGACAUAACAUUGACACGACAAGUCACUCAGGAAGUCGUACGUGUGCGAAGAUAAUUCAUUAAUGUGAACGAACUAUUUAGAUAUAGCUUUUCAAAAGCGCUCAUCGCGAUAAUACGUCCGGUAUAUUUCAGCAGGUUCAUUAGUUAGUAGCGUUUGACGCAGAACAGUAACUAAACUUGAAAUUCAGUUUAUUUAGUUGGAACAGUGAUGAUACACUUGUGCCGCACGCCCUACGAUUUUUUUUGUCGUGUUUUUUGCCUACCAUUAAUACAAUUUUAGAGAAACUGUCAACAACACAUCUACUUCACAGAAAUGUAUCAAUUAGUGGGGGGCGAACACUGCCAUAAAACGAAAUAAUAAUAACAAAUGCAAGACCGCAAAAAAUUUGUGGUAAUUUUUGAAAAGAUCAGUAAAGAUAGUGGUACAUUGAUACUACAACAAACGUAUGUUGUUUGAAUGACACGAAAUAUGGGUCUAUAUGCAUUAACACUUUGUUUGACGCAUGCCCUAGCGUUUUACUAGCAAACGAAAUCGAAAAAGUGUUUCCUUUCAUGUUUGAGAACUGUGCGGUACAGCACAAUUUGUUCAGCUGGUUUCAAAAGUUGAUAUUCUUAUUGACUGGACGUGAAAUUCGGCUUAUGUUAAAUGCGAACCUUUUGUUCUGUGUCAACAAAAUAAGUCAUGAACUACUCUGGGAGAACAAUUGUGUGUGUAUUAUUCUCUUUUACGUAUUUGAUACUGGACUCUAUCCCCAACCCUUGUACUUUACUUAUCAGAUUUGAUAAGAUGUAGUGCAACAGAUGUAAGUGGCACGAUAUUUUAUUAUAGAAAUAGGUUUGUAAUAGCCUUUACUAUAUAAAGACCAGAUUCCUUGAUUAAAGUAUGUAAAAUUCAAACUCUGAAAAGGUGAAAUCACUCUCGCUGCCUGCAAAUUUCUGUCAUUCCUCCUUAAAAUAAAGAAGUGGCUUUGGAAGUACAUGGUAGUGUGAGGAACUUGCAAUUGAAACUUUUAUGGCAGCUACAAACAGCUCACAUGCAAACUUGGCAAGGAAUUUCCAAAACAGAGAGCUGCCAGGAACAGCAUAUGGCAUUUUAAAUAUUCACAAACUGACCAAGAGUAGACGAAAUGAGAAGUCUUGAGAUAUGGAAGUAACUUCUCUGCAGCAGUGACAAGUCAGCAGGUCAGGACGCAUCCAAACAUCCAUAGGACUGUAUGAAAACCCAAGCGGCGCGUGUAUACGUGUCUGCAGCACCUGGGGAACAGCGUAGUAGGAUGUGUACACAAGA